UACGUAGGGUGCGAGCGUUGUCCGGAAUUAUUGGGCGUAAAGAGCUCGUAGGCGGCUUGUCGCGUCGGAUGUGAAAGCCCUCGGCUCAACUGAGGAAGUGCACCCGAAACUGGCGAGCUUGAGUACGAAAGAGGAUCGCGGAAUUCCCAGUGUAGAGGUGAAAUUCGUAGAUAUCGGGAGGAACACCGGUGGCGAAGGCGGCGAUCUGGGUCGAUACUGACGCUGAGGUGCGAAAGCGUGGGGAGCAAACAGG
Molecule: ribosomal RNA, 253 nt
Filed under: uncultured bacterium
Lineage: Bacteria
Description: partial 16S ribosomal RNA
Rfam family: Bacterial small subunit ribosomal RNA
Source: RNAcentral